Molecule: ribosomal RNA, 494 nt
Filed under: uncultured bacterium
Lineage: Bacteria
Description: partial 16S ribosomal RNA
Rfam family: Bacterial small subunit ribosomal RNA
Source: RNAcentral
GACGAACGCUGGCGGCGUGCUUAACACAUGCAAGUCGAACGGAAAGGCCUGCUUUCCCUUGUGGAUUGCGGGUACUCGAGUGGCGAACGGGUGAGUAACACGUGAGUGAUCUGCCCCCAACUUGGGUAUAAGCCUGGGAAACUGGGUCUAAUUCCCGAUAGGACUGCAGGGUGGUGCCUGUGGUGGAAAACGAUUUUCUAGUGGUUGGGGAUGAGCUCGCGGCCUAUCAGCUUGUUGGUGGGGUAAUGGCCUACCAAGGCGGCGACGGGUAGCCGGCCUGAGAGGGUGGACGGCCACAUUGGGACUGAGAUACGGCCCAGACUCCUACGGGAGGCAGCAGUGGGGAAUAUUACACAAUGGGCGGAAGCUUGAUGCAGCGACGCCGCGUGGGGGAUGACGGCCUUCGGGUUGUAAACUCCUUUCGACCGCGAGGAAGCCACCUGGUUGGAAGGGUGGUGACGGUAGUGGUAGAAGAAGCACCGGCUAACUACGUG